UUACCUACGGGAGGCAGCAGUGGGGAAUAUUGCACAAUGGGGGAAACCCUGAUGCAGCGACGCCGCGUGAGUGAAGAAGUAUUUCGGUAUGUAAAGCUCUAUCAGCAGGGAAGAAAAUGACGGUACCUGACUAAGAAACCCCGGCUAACUACGUGCCAGCAGCCGCGGUAAUACGUAGGGGGCAAGCGUUAUCCGGAUUUACUGGGUGUAAAGGGAGCGUAGACGGCCAGACAAGUCAGAAGUGAAAACCCGCGGCUCAACUGCGGGAGCGCUUUUGAAACUGUUUGGCUGGAGUGCAGGAGAGG
Molecule: ribosomal RNA, 305 nt
Filed under: uncultured bacterium
Lineage: Bacteria
Description: bacterial SSU rRNA
Rfam family: Bacterial small subunit ribosomal RNA
Source: RNAcentral